Molecule: ribosomal RNA, 459 nt
Filed under: uncultured bacterium
Lineage: Bacteria
Description: partial 16S ribosomal RNA
Rfam family: Bacterial small subunit ribosomal RNA
Source: RNAcentral
CCUACGGGAGGCAGCAGUGAGGAAUAUUGCUCAAUGGCCGGAAGGCUGAACCAGCAAAGCCGCGUGAGGGAGGAAGGCGCAGAGCGUCGCAGACCUCUUCUGCCGGGGGACAAAAGGCCGGACUCGCCCGGUCCUGAGGGUACCCGGAGAAAAAGCAUCGGCAAACACGGGGCCAGCAGCCGCGGUAAUACGGGGGAUGCGAGCGUUAUCCGGAUUCAUUGGGUUACAGGGGUGCGCAGGGGGGCCUUUAAGCCGGCGGUGAAAUCGCGGGGCUCAACCCCGCCUAGCCGUCGGAACUGGGGGGCUUGAGUGCGGCAGAGGCAUGCGGAAUGCGCGGUGUAGCGGUGAAAUGCAUAGAUAUCGCGCAGAACCCCAAUUGCGAAGGCAGCGUGCCGGGCCGCCACUGACGCUGAGGCACGAAAGCGCGGGGAUCGAACAGGAUUAGAUACCCUUGUAGUC